UGAGUUAUCUCAAUUGAUUGUUCACAGUCAGUUACAGAUCGAACUCCUUGUUCUACUCUUUCCCCCCUUCUCACU
Molecule: non-coding RNA, 75 nt
Filed under: Chlorocebus aethiops (grivet monkey)
Lineage: Eukaryota; Metazoa; Chordata; Mammalia; Primates; Cercopithecidae
Also listed under: 4 other names
Source: RNAcentral